GGGAUUAUUUCUCGCGAAGAAAAAUGAAAAGGAGAAUAUAAGGAUAUAAGGACAAUCAGACACGAAGAUCGAUAGCUUUUAGGAAGACAUAUAUUUGGGACAUGUACUCAAGAUCUAACCGAGCCAACACAUCUCUCACCGGCACAUUCUUCUUGAAUGGCGUUAACGUUCCCUGUGGAACUUUUGCCGUCUCAACGUAUUCAUUAACUAGCGUCGUUCAUUAAUACUUGGUUGAGAUUUCUAUGCCGAAUAACACGCCUUGAAUGUACUCUAAAGUGGCAAGCUCUAGAAUACGCGUGACCACAGUGCAAGCCGGAAGAAUUUUCUUUGACGAAAAAUCCCCCAACCAGAACGGGAAUCGAACCCGAACACCCGGCAUGAUAGUGUGGGACGCUAACCACUCGGCCACGGGUGCACAUAAAAACUCCGGCACAUUGGGCUGCCUUUUUCUAGCCCGAAGAGAGUUUUCUAAAUUCGAUCUGGCAACAAGAUACUUCUCGCAUGACCAAACAACGUGUUCGGUGUCGUGGUAACCUUGGCCACAAACGCAGAGAUUGCUGCUGACAAGAUUGAAACGGAAGAGUAGUGCAUCUAACGAACAGCGAUUUGACAUGAAUCGGGAGAAGGUGCGAAUAAAGUCCCGACUCAAUUCCAGACUUUUGAACCACGGUUUGUCGCCUUCAAUCGCACCCACCUUUGUUAAUGAGUCAGCCCUCUCAUUAUCCGGAAUCGAGCAAUGUGAAGCAACCCAGACAAAGAAAUCGAGCAAUUCGAUAGCACCGAGCGAGUGAUAACUAUCGAUGCAAGUGUCAGACCUUUUCGAGUUGUUUGGUUCACUUGUUGCAUAUCUUCAGAGAAUUAUUUUGUGUUGGCUUGAAUCCCUUUGGGAAACAUUUCAGAAACGCUUCAAUAUAUGCAAUUUGCAACACAUGUUCGUUUGUUUUGAUCAGCAUUUGUUUUACGGUGCUGCCAGAAUAGUCUAUAAAAGCGCAUAUUUCAGUGGCGGAAGAAAAAAACCAAAUCACCACCAGUUUGAACGGCUCCUUAAACAAUGGAAGCGAGAUUGCUCGAGGUUCUUGUGGAGGUAGUCGUCAUAUAUUCCCGGUGUAGGAAAAGUUGGAGGAAUUCAGAGAGGAACUUAAUGCACUGAGACCACCUAGGUUCAGAAUGGCAGAAAGUUUGGAUUGGCAUGAGGGGAAAAGUAAAGAAAACACUAGCACGCAACAAGCGAGAAUUUAGAGCAACAGGUGGUUGCCCCAAUACAAUAAAGCUAUCGACGCCGCUACAACAAGAAAUCGACGCUAAAACAGAAUCACAUGAAUAACAAAAAUUGUUUUGCUAAAAAAAAGUGAUAUUCGUGCAUGACUCUUUACGGAAUUCCAUAGAUUUCCUAAUAAUUAUAUUUUUUAUAC
Toxorhynchites rutilus septentrionalis is the source of this 1412-nucleotide long non-coding RNA. RefSeq lists it as uncharacterized. The transcript is spliced from 4 exons. NCBI's taxonomy places the organism in Eukaryota, Metazoa, Arthropoda, Insecta, Diptera, Culicidae. The record is from RefSeq and is a predicted model, not a curated record.